UGCAAGUCGAACGCACAGCGAAAGGUGCUUGCACCUUUCAGUGAGUGGCGAACGGGUGAGUAACACGUGGACAACCUGCCUCAAGGCUGGGGAUAACAUUUGGAAACAGAUGCUAAUACCGAAUAAAACUUAGUGUCGCAUGACAAAAAGUUAAAAGGCGCUUCGGCGUCACCUAGAGAUGGAUCCGCGGUGCAUUAGUUAGUUGGUGGGGUAAAGGCCUACCAAGACAAUGAUGCAUAGCCGAGUUGAGAGACUGAUCGGCCACAUUGGGACUGAGACACGGCCCAAACUCCUACGGGAGGCUGCAGUAGGGAAUCUUCCACAAUGGGCGAAAGCCUGAUGGAGCAACGCCGCGUGUGUGAUGAAGGCUUUCGGGUCGUAAAGCACUGUUGUAUGGGAAGAACAGCUAGAAUAGGAAAUGAUUUUAGUUUGACGGUACCAUACCAGAAAGGGACGGCUAAAUACGUGCCAGCAGCCGCGGUAAUACGUAUGUCCCGAGCGUUAUCCGGAUUUAUUGGGCGUAAAGCGAGCGCAGACGGUUUAUUAAGUCUGAUGUGAAAGCCCGGAGCUCAACUCCGGAAUGGCAUUGGAAACUGGUUAACUUGAGUGCAGUAGAGGUAAGUGGAACUCCAUGUGUAGCGGUGGAAUGCGUAGAUAUAUGGAAGAACACCAGUGGCGAAGGCGGCUUACUGGACUGCAACUGACGUUGAGGCUCGAAAGUGUGGGUAGCAAACAGGAUUAGAUACCCUGGUAGUCCACACCGUAAACGAUGAACACUAGGUGUUAGGAGGUUUCCGCCUCUUAGUGCCGAAGCUAACGCAUUAAGUGUUCCGCCUGGGGAGUACGACCGCAAGGUUGAAACUCAAAGGAAUUGACGGGGACCCGCACAAGCGGUGGAGCAUGUGGUUUAAUUCGAAGCAACGCGAAGAACCUUACCAGGUCUUGACAUCCUUUGAAGCUUUUAGAGAUAGAAGUGUUCUCUUCGGAGACAAAGUGACAGGUGGUGCAUGGUCGUCGUCAGCUCGUGUCGUGAGAUGUUGGGUUAAGUCCCGCAACGAGCGCAACC
This 1066-nucleotide ribosomal RNA is filed under the name Leuconostoc mesenteroides. RNAcentral's name for it is "bacterial SSU rRNA". It matches the Rfam family "Bacterial small subunit ribosomal RNA", at positions 56 to 1103 of the family's 1533-position model. The record is from RNAcentral. Lineage: Bacteria; Bacillati; Bacillota; Bacilli; Lactobacillales; Lactobacillaceae.